GGUCGAGUGGCCGAGAGAAGAGGCAAAAGUCCGCAAGACUUUCUACAGUAGUUCGAAUCUACUCUCGACCUC
This 72-nucleotide transfer RNA is filed under the name Bacteroidetes bacterium OLB10. Its description in RNAcentral is "tRNA-Cys". It matches the Rfam family "tRNA". Rfam says of the family: Transfer RNA (tRNA) molecules are approximately 80 nucleotides in length. Their secondary structure includes four short double-helical elements and three loops (D, anti-codon, and T loops). The record is from RNAcentral. Lineage: Bacteria; Pseudomonadati; Bacteroidota. RNAcentral also lists the same sequence under 2 other names.